AUUGAACGCUGGCGGCAGGCCUAACACAUGCAAGUCGAGCGGAUGAAGGGAGCUUGCUCCUGGAUUCAGCGGCGGACGGGUGAGUAAUGCCUAGGAAUCUGCCUGGUAGUGGGGGCUAACGUCCGGAAACGGGCGCUAAUACCGCAUCCGUCCUGAGGUAGAAAGUGGGGGAUCUUCGGACCUCACGCUAUCAGAUGAGCCUAGGUCGUAUUAGCUAGUUGGUUGGGUAAAGGCCUACCAAGGCGACGAUCCGUAACUGGUCUGAGAGGAUGAUCAGUCACACUGGAACUGAGACACGGUCCAGACUCCUACGGGAGGCAGCAGUAGGGAAUAUUGGACAAUGGGCGAAAGCCUGAUGCAGCAAUGCCGCGUGUGUGAAGAAGGUCUUCGGAUUGUAAAGCACUGUUAGUUGGGAGGAAGGGCAGUAAGUUAAUAUCUGGCUGUUUUGACGUUACCAACAGAAUAAGCACCGGCUAACUUCGUG
RNAcentral lists this ribosomal RNA (484 nucleotides) under uncultured bacterium. RNAcentral's name for it is "partial 16S ribosomal RNA". It matches the Rfam family "Bacterial small subunit ribosomal RNA", at positions 30 to 507 of the family's 1533-position model. The record is from RNAcentral.